Molecule: ribosomal RNA, 577 nt
Filed under: Hansenula anomala
Lineage: Eukaryota; Fungi; Ascomycota; Saccharomycetes; Phaffomycetales; Wickerhamomycetaceae
Description: eukaryotic LSU rRNA
Rfam family: Eukaryotic large subunit ribosomal RNA
Source: RNAcentral
ACUAAGGCUUGCCUCAGUAACGGCGAGUGAAGCGGCAAAAGCUCAAAUUUGAAAUCUAGCACCUUCGGUGUUCGAGUUGUAAUUUGAAGAUGGUAACCUUGGGUUUGGCUCUUGUCUAUGUUCCUUGGAACAGGACGUCAUAGAGGGUGAGAAUCCCGUCUGAUGAGAUGCCCAUUCCUAUGUAAGGUGCUAUCGAAGAGUCGAGUUGUUUGGGAAUGCAGCUCUAAGUGGGUGGUAAAUUCCAUCUAAAGCUAAAUAUUGGCGAGAGACCGAUAGCGAACAAGUACAGUGAUGGAAAGAUGAAAAGAACUUUGAAAAGAGAGUGAAAAAGUACGUGAAAUUGUUGAAAGGGAAGGGCAUUAGAUCAGACUUGGUGUUUUACGAUUAUCUUCUCUUCUUGAGUUGUGCACUCGUAUUUCACUGGGCCAGCAUCGAUUCGGAUGGCAAGAUAAUGGCAGUUGAAUGUGGCUUCACUUCGGUGGAGUGUUAUAGCUUCUGCUGAUAUUGCCUGUCUGGAUCGAGGGCUGCGUCUUUUGACUAGGAUGCUGGCGUAAUGAUCUAAUGCCGCCCGUCUGAA